RNAcentral lists this ribosomal RNA (3028 nucleotides) under Salmonella enterica subsp. enterica serovar Thompson. RNAcentral describes it as "23S ribosomal RNA". It matches the Rfam family "Bacterial large subunit ribosomal RNA". Lineage: Bacteria; Pseudomonadati; Pseudomonadota; Gammaproteobacteria; Enterobacterales; Enterobacteriaceae. The record is from RNAcentral.
GGGUUGUGAGGUUAAGCGACUAAGCGUACACGGUGGAUGCCCUGGCAGUCAGAGGCGAUGAAGGGCGUGCUAAUCUGCGAUAAGCGCCGGUAAGGUGAUAUGAACCGUUAUAACCGGCGAUACCCGAAUGGGGAAACCCAGUGUGAUUCGUCACACUAUCAUUAACUGAAUCCAUAGGUUAAUGAGGCGAACCGGGGGAACUGAAACAUCUAAGUACCCCGAGGAAAAGAAAUCAACCGAGAUUCCCCCAGUAGCGGCGAGCGAACGGGGAGGAGCCCAGAGCCUGAAUCAGCAUGUGUGUUAGUGGAAGCGUCUGGAAAGGCGCGCGAUACAGGGUGACAGCCCCGUACACAAAAGCGCAUGUGCUGUGAGCUCGAUGAGUAGGGCGGGACACGUGGUAUCCUGUCUGAAUAUGGGGGGACCAUCCUCCAAGGCUAAAUACUCCUGACUGACCGAUAGUGAACCAGUACCGUGAGGGAAAGGCGAAAAGAACCCCGGCGAGGGGAGUGAAAAAGAACCUGAAACCGUGUACGUACAAGCAGUGGGAGCCCCACCACUAAGCCAGUGGUGAACUCCACAUACGCAUCCUUUGCUGAGGAUACGGUUAACGGAGCGAAAGCGACGUUCAACCGCAAAAGAAGCAGAGGGGGCUUAGUGGUGGGGUGACUGCGUACCUUUUGUAUAAUGGGUCAGCGACUUAUAUUCUGUAGCAAGGUUAACCGUAUAGGGGAGCCGUAGGGAAACCGAGUCUUAACCGGGCGUUAAGUUGCAGGGUAUAGACCCGAAACCCGGUGAUCUAGCCAUGGGCAGGUUGAAGGUUGGGUAACACUAACUGGAGGACCGAACCGACUAAUGUUGAAAAAUUAGCGGAUGACCUGUGGCUGGGGGUGAAAGGCCAAUCAAACCGGGAGAUAGCUGGUUCUCCCCGAAAGCUAUUUAGGUAGCGCCUCGUGAAUUCAUCUCCGGGGGUAGAGCACUGUUUCGGCUAGGGGGCCAUCCCGGCUUACCAACCCGAUGCAAACUGCGAAUACCGGAGAAUGUUAUCACGGGAGACACACGGCGGGUGCUAACGUCCGUCGUGAAGAGGGAAACAACCCAGACCGCCAGCUAAGGUCCCAAAGUCAUGGUUAAGUGGGAAACGAUGUGGGAAGGCCCAGACAGCCAGGAUGUUGGCUUAGAAGCAGCCAUCAUUUAAAGAAAGCGUAAUAGCUCACUGGUCGAGUCGGCCUGCGCGGAAGAUGUAACGGGGCUAAACCAUGCACCGAAGCUGCGGCAGCGACACUCAGGUGUUGUUGGGUAGGGGAGCGUUCUGUAAGCCUGUGAAGGUGGCCUGUGAGGGUUGCUGGAGGUAUCAGAAGUGCGAAUGCUGACAUAAGUAACGAUAAAGCGGGUGAAAAGCCCGCUCGCCGGAAGACCAAGGGUUCCUGUCCAACGUUAAUCGGGGCAGGGUGAGUCGACCCCUAAGGCGAGGCCGAAAGGCGUAGUCGAUGGGAAACAGGUUAAUAUUCCUGUACUUGGUGUUACUGCGAAGGGGGGACGGAGAAGGCUAUGUUGGCCGGGCGACGGUUGUCCCGGUUUAAGCGUGUAGGUGUGUGUUCCAGGUAAAUCCGGUUCACUUUAACACUGAGGCGUGACGACGAGGCACUACGGUGCUGAAGCAACAAAUGCCCUGCUUCCAGGAAAAGCCUCUAAGCAUCAGGUAACAUCAAAUCGUACCCCAAACCGACACAGGUGGUCAGGUAGAGAAUACCAAGGCGCUUGAGAGAACUCGGGUGAAGGAACUAGGCAAAAUGGUGCCGUAACUUCGGGAGAAGGCACGCUGACACGUAGGUGAAGUGAUUUACUCAUGGAGCUGAAGUCAGUCGAAGAUACCAGCUGGCUGCAACUGUUUAUUAAAAACACAGCACUGUGCAAACACGAAAGUGGACGUAUACGGUGUGACGCCUGCCCGGUGCCGGAAGGUUAAUUGAUGGGGUCAGCGCAAGCGAAGCUCCUGAUCGAAGCCCCGGUAAACGGCGGCCGUAACUAUAACGGUCCUAAGGUAGCGAAAUUCCUUGUCGGGUAAGUUCCGACCUGCACGAAUGGCGUAAUGAUGGCCAGGCUGUCUCCACCCGAGACUCAGUGAAAUUGAACUCGCUGUGAAGAUGCAGUGUACCCGCGGCAAGACGGAAAGACCCCGUGAACCUUUACUAUAGCUUGACACUGAACAUUGAGCCUUGAUGUGUAGGAUAGGUGGGAGGCUUUGAAGCGUGGACGCCAGUCUGCGUGGAGCCGACCUUGAAAUACCACCCUUUAAUGUUUGAUGUUCUAACGUGGACCCGUAAUCCGGGUUGCGGACAGUGUCUGGUGGGUAGUUUGACUGGGGCGGUCUCCUCCUAAAGAGUAACGGAGGAGCACGAAGGUUGGCUAAUCCUGGUCGGACAUCAGGAGGUUAGUGCAAUGGCAUAAGCCAGCUUGACUGCGAGCGUGACGGCGCGAGCAGGUGCGAAAGCAGGUCAUAGUGAUCCGGUGGUUCUGAAUGGAAGGGCCAUCGCUCAACGGAUAAAAGGUACUCCGGGGAUAACAGGCUGAUACCGCCCAAGAGUUCAUAUCGACGGCGGUGUUUGGCACCUCGAUGUCGGCUCAUCACAUCCUGGGGCUGAAGUAGGUCCCAAGGGUAUGGCUGUUCGCCAUUUAAAGUGGUACGCGAGCUGGGUUUAGAACGUCGUGAGACAGUUCGGUCCCUAUCUGCCGUGGGCGCUGGAGAACUGAGGGGGGCUGCUCCUAGUACGAGAGGACCGGAGUGGACGCAUCACUGGUGUUCGGGUUGUCAUGCCAAUGGCACUGCCCGGUAGCUAAAUGCGGAAGAGAUAAGUGCUGAAAGCAUCUAAGCACGAAACUUGCCCCGAGAUGAGUUCUCCCUGAGACUUAGAGUCUCCUGAAGGAACGUUGAAGACGACGACGUUGAUAGGCCGGGUGUGUAAGCGCAGCGAUGCGUUGAGCUAACCGGUACUAAUGAACCGUGAGGCUUAACCUUACAACGCCGAAG